RNAcentral lists this long non-coding RNA (829 nucleotides) under Mytilus galloprovincialis (Mediterranean mussel). The record is from RNAcentral. Lineage: Eukaryota; Metazoa; Mollusca; Bivalvia; Mytilida; Mytilidae.
GUGCAGCUAUAUAGAUUUGCAGAAAGAAAAAGCAAAUAAAGGCAGUUUAGAUUGAUGCGGUCAAAAGAUUUUUGUUAAACAGGUCGUCCGAGGUAUGAAAACUACUCGUAAACAGAUAUUAUAUUGGUUAUUGAGGUCCGAUAAUUUUGUUAUGUGAUAAUGAGCCAUCCUGACUCCCGGAAUAACAAAUGUAAAACAAUUCAUAAUAAUGCCCCCCUAAUACUAACGGCCUAAUUUAUGUACAAAAAUUGAGAGAAAAACAAAAAUUUAUGUAACACACAAAAAAAAAGAAAAUCACUGAAUUACAUGCUCCCGGCUCAAAAUCUACUGGUCCUGCAAAAAUGACAUUAAUUUGACAUGUGCUGUUCUGAUUGCUCAUGAGCAAGUACAGAAUCCAAUCUGAAAUUUGACGAUCCUGUUACGAAAAUACAUUUCCUAUCUAGGUCUGUAACUGCAAAUUUUUCACAUACUGUAUAGUUCAUUAAAUUCCGAUCUACUAUAUAAUGCAACCAUUCACGAUCUAGCGCUAAUUUCGACCCCUGCUGACAGUUCUACGUACUGUUCUACAACAGUUCUCCUGACAGAUUUAAUGAGAGGUUAGAAGUGAUCUCUAAUGUACCUAUGCGGGACCCGGCUACAAGUGUGUAAUAGCAUCUUUACAUAGACACAAAAAAAUGUGUACGUUGUUGAAAGUUUCCUGUCUGAAAGCUAAAUUGUGUAAACAUUAUUUGACAUGUUGCUCAAUUAGUUAAUGUAUGUUACACUUAUAGGAAUUUGUUUGUACUAUAUGUAUUACACAUGGUCAUAUAAGAUCUGUGAAAUAACGAAU